RNAcentral lists this ribosomal RNA (253 nucleotides) under uncultured bacterium. RNAcentral describes it as "partial 16S ribosomal RNA". It matches the Rfam family "Bacterial small subunit ribosomal RNA", at positions 524 to 776 of the family's 1533-position model. The record is from RNAcentral.
UACGUAGGGUGCGAGCGUUAAUCGGAAUUACUGGGCGUAAAGCGUGCGCAGGCGGUUGUGCAAGACAGAUGUGAAAUCCCCGGGCUUAACCUGGGAACUGCAUCUGUGACUGCACGGCUAGAGUGUGUCAGAGGGGGGUAGAAUUCCACGUGUAGCAGUGAAAUGCGUAGAUAUGUGGAGGAAUACCGAUGGCGAAGGCAGCCCCCUGGGAUAACACUGACGCUCAUGCACGAAAGCGUGGGGAGCAAACAGG